Non-coding RNA from Parelaphostrongylus tenuis, 73 nucleotides. Lineage: Eukaryota; Metazoa; Nematoda; Chromadorea; Rhabditida; Metastrongylidae. The record is from the annotation of a GenBank genome assembly.
GCAUAGGUAGUGCAAUGGUUCGACCACGCGCCUUCGGACAGGUGAGAUUUGGGUUCGAGUCCCACCUGAUGCA